GACAAACGCUGGCGGCGUGCUUAACACAUGCAAGUCGAACGGAAAGGCCCUGCUUUUGUGGGGUGCUCGAGUGGCGAACGGGUGAGUAACACGUGAGUAACCUGCCCUUGACUUUGGGAUAACUUCAGGAAACUGGGGCUAAUACCGGAUAGGAGCUCCUGCUGCAUGGUGGGGGUUGGAAAGUUUCGGCGGUUGGGGAUGGACCCGCGGCUUAUCAGCUUGUUGGUGGGGUAGUGGCUUACCAAGGCUUUGACGGGUAGCCGGCCUGAGAGGGUGACCGGCCACAUUGGGACUGAGAUACGGCCCAGACUCCUACGGGAGGCAGCAGUGGGGAAUAUUGCACAAUGGGCGGAAGCCUGAUGCAGCAACGCCGCGUGCGGGAUGACGGCCUUCGGGUUGUAAACCGCUUUCGCCUGUGACGAAGCGUGAGUGACGGUAAUGGGUAAAGAAGCACCGGCUAACUACGUG
RNAcentral lists this ribosomal RNA (468 nucleotides) under uncultured bacterium. Its description in RNAcentral is "partial 16S ribosomal RNA". It matches the Rfam family "Bacterial small subunit ribosomal RNA", at positions 28 to 507 of the family's 1533-position model. The record is from RNAcentral.